AUGGGCGGCACCACGGUGCUUCCGCCUGCUCUGCUCCCGCGCCGUAGCGCCGCCGCCGCUGCCGAUCUGCACUCCUGCUCCUCCCGCGUGCGCCUAAACCCUGCCUUGAUGGCCAACCCCGCUGCUGCCAAGACGCCAAAGCGUUCAGGAUCCGUGCGCGACGUGCAGUCGCCGGCGCCGAAGCGCGUACGCGGUGCCUGCUCCGGGGAAGAGCUCCAUGUCGCGGUCGGCACCAACAUCAACAACAGCAGCAAGCUUCCGUGUUCCAGCAUCAGCAAGGAUCCAAGAACCAGGCUCGCCGUCAUCAAGAACCAGGUCGCCGAAUCUCCGGAGAGCGCGACGGAAUCGAGGCCGCAGAUGAGCAUGCGCGAACUGAUCGAGAAAGCUCGCCUCACCAUGGCUCGCCUCGACAAGGCUCGCUCUGCCUCCGAAGAAGAGGCCAGCCGUCGGCGCGACAUC
Molecule: ribosomal RNA, 459 nt
Filed under: Triticum aestivum (bread wheat)
Lineage: Eukaryota; Viridiplantae; Streptophyta; Magnoliopsida; Poales; Poaceae
Description: partial small subunit ribosomal RNA
Source: RNAcentral